RNAcentral lists this ribosomal RNA (429 nucleotides) under uncultured bacterium. RNAcentral's name for it is "bacterial SSU rRNA". It matches the Rfam family "Bacterial small subunit ribosomal RNA", at positions 355 to 776 of the family's 1533-position model. The record is from RNAcentral.
UAGGGAAUCUUCCGCAAUGGACGAAAGUCUGACGGAGCAACGCCGCGUGAACGAUGAAGGCCUUCGGGUCGUAAAGUUCUGUUGUUAGGGAAGAACAAGUACCAGAGUAACUGCUGGUACCUUGACGGUACCUAACCAGAAAGCCACGGCUAACUACGUGCCAGCAGCCGCGGUAAUACGUAGGUGGCAAGCGUUGUCCGGAAUUAUUGGGCGUAAAGCGCGCGCAGGCGGUUUCUUAAGUCUGAUGUGAAAGCCCACGGCUCAACCGUGGAGGGUCAUUGGAAACUGGGGAACUUGAGUGCAGAAGAGGAGAGUGGAAUUCCACGUGUAGCGGUGAAAUGCGUAGAGAUGUGGAGGAACACCAGUGGCGAAGGCGACUCUCUGGUCUGUAACUGACGCUGAGGCGCGAAAGCGUGGGGAGCGAACAGG